Molecule: ribosomal RNA, 301 nt
Filed under: uncultured bacterium
Lineage: Bacteria
Description: partial 16S ribosomal RNA
Rfam family: Bacterial small subunit ribosomal RNA
Source: RNAcentral
CAGUAGCCACGGUAAUACGUAGGUGGCAAGCGUUGUCCGGAAUUAUUGGGCGUAAAGGGCUCGCAGGCGGUUUCUUAAGUCUGAUGUGAAAGCCCCCGGCUCAACCGGGGAGGGUCAUUGGAAACUGGGAAACUCGAGUGCGGAAGAGGAGAGUGGAAUUCCACGUGUAGCGGUGAAAUGCGUAGAGAUGUGGAGGAACACCAGUGGCGAAGGCGACUCUCUGGUCUGUAACUGACGCUGAGGAGCGAAAGCGUGGGGAGCGAACAGGAUUAGAUACCCCCGUAGUCCCUGUCUCUUAUAA